AAGGAUCAUUACCUAGAGUUUGUAGACUUCGGUCUGCUACCUCUUACCCAUGUCUUUUGAGUACCUUCGUUUCCUCGGCGGGUCCGCCCGCCGAUUGGACAACAUUCAAACCCUUUGCAGUUGCAAUCAGCGUCUGAAAAAACAUAAUAGUUACAACUUUCAACAACGGAUCUCUUGGUUCUGGCAUCGAUGAAGAACGCAGCGAAAUGCGAUAAGUAGUGUGAAUUGCAGAAUUCAGUGAAUCAUCGAAUCUUUGAACGCACAUUGCGCCCCUUGGUAUUCCAUGGGGCAUGCCUGUUCGAGCGUCAUUUGUACCUUCAAGCUCUGCUUGGUGUUGGGUGUUUGUCUCGCCUCUGCGUGUAGACUCGCCUUAAAACAAUUGGCAGCCGGCGUAUUGAUUUCGGAGCGCAGUACAUCUCGCGCUUUGCACUCAUAACGACGACGUCCAAAAGUACAUUUUUACACUCUUGACCUCGGAUCAGGUAGGGAUACCCGCUGAACUUAAGCAUAUC
Molecule: ribosomal RNA, 512 nt
Filed under: uncultured Epicoccum
Lineage: Eukaryota; Fungi; Ascomycota; Dothideomycetes; Pleosporales; Leptosphaeriaceae
Description: eukaryotic LSU rRNA
Rfam family: 5.8S ribosomal RNA (bases 155-308)
Source: RNAcentral